Molecule: long non-coding RNA, 751 nt
Filed under: Homo sapiens (human)
Lineage: Eukaryota; Metazoa; Chordata; Mammalia; Primates; Hominidae
Description: non-protein coding lnc-NUMB-1:11
Source: RNAcentral
GGGGAGGUGGUGGCGCUUGGUGGCCACUGGCGGCCGAGGUAGAGGCAGUGGCGCUUGAGUUGGUCGGGGGCAGCGGCAGAUUUGAGGCUUAAGCAACUUCUUCCGGGGAAGAGUGCCAGUGCAGCCACUGUUACAAUUCAAGAUCUUGAUCUAUAUCCAUAGAUUGGAAUAUUGGUGGGCCAGCAAUCCUCAGACGCCUCACUUAGGACAAAUUGUAUUUAUGAGCUUGUGUUGCAGUUAUCUAUUGCUGUGUAACAAAGUACCUCAAACUUAGUGGCUUAAAACAACAGUCAUUUAUUUUGUUCAUAUAUUUGCAGUUUGAGCAAGGCUUGAUUGGUAGGGAUGCUUGUCUCUGUUAACAUACAGCAUGAGGUGGGGUGGCUGGAAGGGUUGGAGUGGCUCAGUGGCUGGGAACUGGGAUCCUUUGAAGGUAGGCUUGCUCACUCACAUAUCUGGUGGUUAAAGCUGGCUGUUGGCUAGGACCUCAGCCUGGGCUGUUGGCAAGAACACCUUCAUGUGACUUCUCCUUGUGGCUGCUUGGCUUCUUCACAGCAUGGUGCCUGGGUUCCGAGAGAGAGAGCAUCCCAAGAGAGGAAGGCAAAGGUGCAUGGCAUAUUUGACUUGGUUUUGGAAGUCACAUAGUGUUACUUUGCUCUGUCCUACUGGUUGAUGUAGUUGUAAAGGUUCUCCCAAGUUUCAAGGAAGCUGUGGACAUAGACCCCACCACUUGAAAGGAUCAACAUCAUAUUGU